UCUGCUCAAUGAUUUUUUAAAUUGCUGUGGUAUUUUGACUAUACAAAGGUAUUGUAAUAAGAUUUUAAUUGAAUGCUAAAAGAAUGGAAAUUUAAAAAAAAACUUUUUUAAAAAUAAAAAUUGAAUUUUUUUUAAUUUGUGCAAAAACAAUUAUAUUUAUUAAAGACAAGAAGACCCUAAGAAUUUAAGAUUUUACAAUUAAAAAGUUUUUUUUUAAAAUCUUGAUUGGGGCGAUCAAAAAAUAUUAAUAACUUUUUAAAAUUUAAAUUGAUCUAUUAUUAAUAAACUAAUGAAUUAAAUACUCUAGGGAUAACAGCGUAAUAAUUUUUGAUAGAUCUUAUUGACAAAAUAGUUUGCGACCUCGAUGUUGGAUUAGGAUUCUUUUUUAAUGAAGACUUAUCUAUAUAUUUAUGUAUUUCU
Molecule: ribosomal RNA, 420 nt
Filed under: Ixodida sp.
Lineage: Eukaryota; Metazoa; Arthropoda; Arachnida; Ixodida
Description: partial large subunit ribosomal RNA
Source: RNAcentral